CAGGUUCGCAUGCUCGCGACGAGCUCGACUCUGCCCGCCGCCGGCCGCCCACCGCCAGUGAAUCGCGUCCUCGCGUGGCCGCACGCCCGUGCGUCCGCCGUCUGCGGUUCAUGCCAAUCUACCGGUCUUCCAAGCCUAGCCCAUGUUGCGAGCCGCACGUCGACGUGCCGCCAUCGCUGCUCCCCUUCGUGAUUGCGGUGGCUGGCCUAAGCACGAGAUGCAGAUAGAUGAAUUAGAUCAGCUGUGUCCAAAUUGGAACCUGCGCGCACCGGAUCCGCGUGCCCUCGGUUGGGGAGGCUGGCGACCCGUACAGCGAUGCUGGAGAAUGCGGCUCAGCCUCGGGCAACGGGACUUCUCCGUCGUCUCGCCAAGCGACGUGAACACCGUCUCCAAGCAGCUGCGGGGUGUUUUCUGCAAAAUUUACAUCAUAGAGACGGACUCAAGAGACCUGUUGUACGUGCCCUUAGCAAGCUGAAAUUCUUGCAGUA
This 488-nucleotide long non-coding RNA is filed under the name Sorghum bicolor (sorghum). RNAcentral's name for it is "long non-coding RNA (SBIC_LNC007673)". Lineage: Eukaryota; Viridiplantae; Streptophyta; Magnoliopsida; Poales; Poaceae. The record is from RNAcentral.